GUUUCAUGUAGAGGCACCACACACAAAAGCGCAUACAAAAAUGUCUGCUGACAUAGAGCAUAGAACCAUAGAGUGGGGGGGGGCUUCAGAGGCCAACCCCCAGCUUGAUCCAGAUAGCCCAGAGCUGGAGCAUCCACAAGACAUUACUCUUUAGCUUCUGUUUGAAGAACUCCAGUGAGGAAGAGCCCACCACCCCUCUAGCAACACAAACGCGUGGAAUUGGUUAAACUUUGAGACUAUAUGAUAUUGUAACUUGACCAAAAGGCCAAGAAAUGAGCAUCAUGGAGAAGAAAAGCAGAGCAGAGGAGGAGCCCAACUAGAGAGGAGGUAAAGACAGAGGAACCUGACCCAAGGCAGCCUGCAAUUCUGCAUGAAAAGAUUUAUUUAAUGAUGUAUUUUAAGAAUGUUUACCUCCCAUUCUUCUGCUGAAAAGUAGCUUCCAGUUUAACUUCCUGAUCAUUUGAGGUCCAGCUCCGAGGGCCUGGCAGUUCCCUCACUGCAAGAAGUGAAGUUACAGGGAACAGAGGGCCUUCUCGGUAGUGGCGCCUGCCCUGUGGGAACGCCCUCCCAUCAGAUGUAAAGGAAAUAAAGAACUAGACAACUCUCCGAAGAUACCUGAAGGCAGCCCUAUAUUGGGAAGUUUUUAAUGUUUGAUGUUUUAUUAUACUUUUAGUUUUGUUGGAGGCCACCCAGAGUUGCUGGGGCAACCCCAUCAGAUGGGUGGGGUAUAAGUAAUUUUGUUUUCAUUUAUUUAUUAUUAACAGAAGUCAUUUUACAAAACAGUUCAUUAUUUAAGAAUGUAACGAUCUCUUUUUUAAUUUAUACUUCUUCCCUUAGCCACGGACUUCGACUGUGCCCAGUGGAAGAAUGGGCUGCCUUGCACAGCUCCCACCUAGACCAAACCACUAUGGCCUGGAAACUGCCUUUGGCAAUUCAGCACUGCCUGGUGACCUUUCUUGGGCUCUAAGUUGGAAUUUGCACAGAAAGAUCACUGAGCAGGACAGGGAGAAACAGUGAAGAAGGUGGAAGCGGCAAGCAGGUUAUUCGUAUCUCGACUUGCAAAAGUGCAAGAACAAUAUAUUGGCACAUUUGUUAGUAAAAAAGUAGGAGCCACGUACAUAGCUUGAGAUGUCCUAAGAUGCCAGCUAUGCAUCUGAUAUCACAGUAGGUGUCUAAGGUUCUAUUACCUUGUGGAAAUUCUUUGGAGGGAGAGGGCAAUAUUUGCUUGGGGGGGGAUAGAAACAAUACAGCUCUAUUAUAAUAUUCAUCACCACCUUUCUAAAUUUUAAAAUGCAAGGUGAGAUGGAGAUAAUAAACUGUGGCUAAAACAAAAACGUGGAAGGAAUAGAGAGGAGGCAGGAGUGCACAAACCUAAGGCGCAUUCAUAUAAUAGGUUAGCAUUGCAUCUGAAUGAGUUUUAGUAUGUAGUGUAUCACUGCACUGA
Molecule: long non-coding RNA, 1444 nt
Organism: Podarcis raffonei (Aeolian wall lizard)
Lineage: Eukaryota; Metazoa; Chordata; Lepidosauria; Squamata; Lacertidae
Exons: 3
Source: RefSeq, a predicted model, not a curated record